This 488-nucleotide ribosomal RNA is filed under the name uncultured bacterium. Its description in RNAcentral is "bacterial SSU rRNA". It matches the Rfam family "Bacterial small subunit ribosomal RNA", at positions 15 to 518 of the family's 1533-position model. The record is from RNAcentral.
GAUCUGGUCAGGACGAACGCUGGCGGCAUGCCUAACACAUGCAAGUCGAACGGAGUUAAGAGAAGCUUGCUUUCUUAACUUAGUGGCGGACGGGUGAGUAACGCGUGAGCAAUCUGCCUUUCAGUGGGGAAUAAUGUUCUGAAAAGAGCACUAAUACCGCAUGAUGUACAGUGACCGCAUGAUCAUUGUACCAAAGAUUUAUCGCUGAGAGAUGAGCUCGCGUCCGAUUAGCCGGUUGGUGGGGUAACGGCCUACCAAAGCUACGAUCGGUAGCCGGACUGAGAGGUUGAACGGCCACAUUGGGACUGAGACACGGCCCAGACUCCUACGGGAGGCAGCAGUGGGGGAUAUUGCGCAAUGGGGGAAACCCUGACGCAGCAAUGCCGCGUGAAGGAUGAAGGUCUUCGGAUUGUAAACUUCUUUUGUCAGGGACAAACAAUGACGGUACCUGACGAAUAAGCUCCGGCUAACUACGUGCCAGCAGCCGC